RNAcentral lists this ribosomal RNA (254 nucleotides) under uncultured bacterium. RNAcentral describes it as "partial 16S ribosomal RNA". It matches the Rfam family "Bacterial small subunit ribosomal RNA", at positions 524 to 776 of the family's 1533-position model. The record is from RNAcentral.
GACGAACCGUACGAACGUUAUUCGGAUUUACUGGGCUUAAAGGGCGCGUAGGCGGCCCGCUAAGUCGAACGUGAAAUCCCCAGGCUCAACCUGGGAACUGCGUCCGAUACUGGCAGGCUUUGAGUGUGGCAGAGGGAGGUAGAAUUCCACGUGUAGCAGUGAAAUGCGUAGAGAUGUGGAGGAAUACCGAUGGCGAAGGCAGCCUCCUGGGCCAACACUGACGCUCAUGCACGAAAGCGUGGGGAGCAAACAGG